This 373-nucleotide ribosomal RNA is filed under the name uncultured bacterium. RNAcentral's name for it is "bacterial SSU rRNA". It matches the Rfam family "Bacterial small subunit ribosomal RNA", at positions 37 to 404 of the family's 1533-position model. The record is from RNAcentral.
AUUGAACGCGUGGCGGCAUGCCUUACACAUGCAAGUCGAACGGUAACGCGGGGCAACCUGGCGACGAGUGGCGAACGGGUGAGUAAUACAUCGGAACGUGCCCAGUAGUGGGGGAUAGCCCGGCGAAAGCCGGAUUAAUACCGCAUACGACCUACGGGUGAAAGCAGGGGAUCGCAAGACCUUGCGCUAUUGGAGCGGCCGAUGUCAGAUUAGGUUGUUGGUGGGGUAAAAGCCUACCAAGCCGACGAUCUGUAGCUGGUCUGAGAGGACGACCAGCCACACUGGGACUGAGACACGGCCCAGACUCCUACGGGAGGCAGCAGUGGGGAAUUUUGGACAAUGGGCGCAAGCCUGAUCCAGCCAUGCCGCGUGC